UACGUAGGGUCCGAGCGUUGUCCGGAAUUAUUGGGCGUAAAGAGCUCGUAGGCGGUUUGUCGCGUCUGCCGUGAAAGUCCGGGGCUCAACUCCGGAUCUGCGGUGGGUACGGGCAGACUAGAGUGAUGUAGGGGAGACUGGAAUUCCUGGUGUAGCGGUGAAAUGCGUAGAGAUUAGGAAGAACACCAGUGGCGAAGGCGACUUCCUGGCCUGUUCUUGACGCUGAGGCGCGGAAAGCUGGGGGAGCAAACGGG
Molecule: ribosomal RNA, 254 nt
Filed under: uncultured bacterium
Lineage: Bacteria
Description: partial 16S ribosomal RNA
Rfam family: Bacterial small subunit ribosomal RNA
Source: RNAcentral